RNAcentral lists this ribosomal RNA (274 nucleotides) under uncultured bacterium. Its description in RNAcentral is "partial 16S ribosomal RNA". It matches the Rfam family "Bacterial small subunit ribosomal RNA", at positions 523 to 796 of the family's 1533-position model. The record is from RNAcentral.
AUACGGAGGGAGCAAGCGUUAUUCGGAAUCACUGGGCGUAAAGGACGCGUAGGCGGGUUUGUAAGUCAGGUGUGAAAUCCUACGGCUCAACUGUAGAACUGCACUUGAAACUACAGACCUAGAGUAUGGAAGGGGCAGAUGGAAUUAGUGGUGUAGGGGUAAAAUCCGUAGAUAUCACUAGGAAUACCGAAAGCGAAGGCGAUCUGCUGGGACAUUACUGACGCUGAGGCGUGAAAGCGUGGGGAGCAAACAGGAUUAGAAACCCCUGUAGUCC